CGCACACACACACACACACACACACACACACACACACACACACACACACACACACACACACACACACACACACACACACACACACACACACACACACACACACACACACACACACACACACACAGUGAAACAGGAAGCUGUCUGGGUUUCUGCUGAAAUGAGAUAUAACACGAGUUCCUCAGAUGAAGAGAGACCAUGUUCCAGGAGGUGUCUUUCGUUACCCUGCUGAUGCUUCACUCUGCGGUUCAGAGCCUCUCAGUUCAGGCUUCGUGUCGGGAGAAUGUUUCUCUCAAGUGUCAGGAGGUCGGAUCAGAGUUCGGAUCAGAGUUCAUCUCCGUCACCUGGUACAAGCAGCUGAUCCACCAAAAUAAGUGUGGCAUCCUGCGGUGGGGCAGCAAAGACAAGAAGAAGCCUCAGUUUUUCAUCAAAUUCAACCGCACCGUCCACUCCGAUCAGAACUACAGCCUGCUGAUCAGCGCCGUCACUCCUGCAGACUCCGGCACCUACCAGUGUGAGGUGGGGGCCAUGAUUGGGGGCCAAAACAAGAGAAAUGAGGUCAAGCUGGACGUCAGCGAGUGUGUGACCCCUGCUGUGUGGGCCACACCGACCCCGGUGCCGAACGCGACCUCUGACCUCUCCAGCACUCAGGUGCACGAGCUUCCAGUUCUGUGGAGCGCCGUCAUCUACGGGAUCGCCUGCAUCGCCAAAAUCGCUUUAUCCAUCAUCAGCGUCUUGAUCAUUCGAUGUGUGCAGUCAAAGUCUUCCAAACGACGGCAGCAGAAAUGGUGAAGCAGAUUGAAUCCCGAAAUUCAGCUUCGUUUCCUAUUUAUUUCUCAGACUCUUUUCUGGUGUGUGACAGCCUGAUUCAGACUCUGGAAGAUGAUGGAAUGAGCGUGCAGCAGCUGCACCCUGCAGACCUGAACUCACUGAGACCCCCUGCAGCUUCACAGGGUCAGACCCACACAGGAUCAGCUUUACAUGGAUCACUGCAGAGAAUGGGGCCGUCUGAAAUCCACCACCCGCUCCUUGGUCUUCCCUGCGUUGAGCUUGAGGUGGUUCCUCCGGCACCAGAGGAUGAAGUCCUGCGUCAGCUCCCUGUGCUCCCUGUCGUCCUCGUUGGAGGACCGGCGAUGGCGGAGUCGUCAGAGAACUUCUGCAGGAGACAGGUCGGCGUGUUGUGGGGGAAGUCUGCAGUGUAGAGGGUGAGGAGGAACGGGGCCAGCACCGUCCCCUGGGGGGCCCCCGUACUUCAGAUGAUGGUGUCUGAUUGACACUCCUGGUCCCCUCGUACUGUGGACGGUCGGUGAGGUAGUUUAAGUACAGUCCAUUUACCAUAUUUAUUGUUGGUAAUAUCAUGAGUUGAAGCGUGCAGGUGUACAGCGGAUGCAACAGGAAGCAGGACUUUAUCCUUUUAAUCAGAUUUAAUGAGGACAUUUAUAAAAGAAGCUCAGGCUUUCACUUCCAAAAAUGUAUGGAUUUAUAAUCAAAGGCAACUUUAUUAACACUGCACAUCCGAACAAUACAGACAUGUUAAAGAAUGUAUUACAAACAUCAAAGUGCAAAAUAAAUAUUACAUGACAUUUAAAAAAUGUAAACGUCAAAUAAAUAAUGAAUAAAAAUCGAAGUGAAAAUAGAACAAGUCCGGUGUAAACAGAGGAGGGUUAAGGAGCGCCUGCUGUCCUCUGACUGCAUCAUCGCCCUGCACUCAUUCACUGACCUGCAGGUGGAAACUGAACCGUGUCCGACCCCCUGAGAACACUGACGCACAAACACAAAGUCCUCCACUGAAGUAAAAGUACUAAUACUACACUGAAGAAGUACUCUCUAAGUAAAAUGUAUUCAUUUAAGACGAACCAAAGCAGGAAAAUCCAAAAUGCAUGAUUUAGAAAAUGGAUGAAAUGUGUUAUAAAUGUUCUCUCAAUUUGCUUUAAUAAUACUCACAUUUUUGCAACAGCUUUGAAAAGGAAAUGCAAUGUGUAUUACACCUAAUAGAUCCAAAACAAUGAAUUCAAAUAAGACAAACAUAACACUGAGCUAUGGACAGACGGUAGGUAUGCAUUGAUAAAGGACUGUGCUGACCAAAAACUCAAUCAAAUCAUUGGUUGAAUAAAAGACACAAAUACAGUUCAUUCUAAAUCAGAUCAUUUAAAAAAAGAACGACAGAAAUAAAAACACAGAAUUAUUUUGGAAAUGAAUUCAAAACUACGUUAAAGUUUAUUUAUGUAAGUCAGAGUAAAUCCAGAGGCCAUUUCAUCUGUAGUGCCUGAACAGACGCUGUAGAACCACCCUAAAAACAGACACCAUUUAAUCAAACAAAUAAUAAUAAAUAAAACAAUAAAAACAACAAAUAAUAAUAAAUAAAAACAACAAAUAAUAAUAAA
This is an RNA transcript of Eleginops maclovinus (Patagonian blennie), 2381 nucleotides long. RefSeq lists it as uncharacterized. The record is from RefSeq and is a predicted model, not a curated record. Lineage: Eukaryota; Metazoa; Chordata; Actinopteri; Perciformes; Eleginopidae. The transcript has 7 exons.